RNAcentral lists this ribosomal RNA (922 nucleotides) under uncultured delta proteobacterium. Its description in RNAcentral is "bacterial SSU rRNA". It matches the Rfam family "Bacterial small subunit ribosomal RNA", at positions 8 to 905 of the family's 1533-position model. Lineage: Bacteria; Deltaproteobacteria. The record is from RNAcentral.
AGAGUUUGAUCAUGGCUCAGGACGAACGCUGGCGGCGUGCCUAACACAUGCAAGUCAAGGGGAAAGCCCUGCUUCGGCGGGGUGAGUAUACUGGCGGACGGGUGAGUAACGCGUAGGCAACCUGCCCUUUCGAACGGGAUAACCCAGCGAAAGUUGGACUAAUACCGUAUACUGCAUAUUAAUCGCAUGAUUACUAUGUUAAAGGUUGCUCUUCGGAGCACUCGCGAAGGGAUGGGCCUGCGUUCCAUUAGUUAGUUGGUGAGGUAACGGCUCACCAAGGCAGCGAUGGAUAGCUGAUUUGAGAGAGUGGUCAGCCACACUGGGACUGAGAUACGGCCCAGACUCCUACGGGAGGCAGCAGUGAGGAAUAUUGCGCAAUGGAGGAAACUCUGACGCAGCAACGCCGCGUGGGGGAUGAAGUUCUAUGGAGCGUAAACCCCUGUAAGUAGGGACGAAAGGUAGAUAUUCGAACAGGGUAUUUAUUUGACGGUACCUACAGAGUAAGCUCCGGCUAACUCCGUGCCAGCAGCCGCGGUAAUACGGGGGGAGCAAGCGUUGUCCGGAAUUACUGGGCGUAAAGGGCGUGUAGGCGGUUUAAUAAGUCAGAUGUAAAAGCCCCCGGCUUAACCGGGGAUAGUCAUUUGAAACUGUUAGGCUUGAGUGCGAGAGAGGGUAGUGGAAUUCCCAGUGUAGCGGUGAAAUGCGUAGAUAUUGGGAAGAACACCAGUAGCGAAGGCGGCUACCUGGCUCGCAACUGACGCUAAGGCGCGAAAGCGUGGGGAGCAAACAGGAUUAGAUACCCUGGUAGUCCACGCUGUAAACGAUGAACACUAGGUGUUGGUUUGCCGCAGGCUGAUCAGUGCCGCAGUUAACGCAUUAAGUGUUCCGCCUGGGGAGUACGAUCGCAAGGUUGAAACUCAAA